Molecule: long non-coding RNA, 886 nt
Organism: Onychostoma macrolepis
Lineage: Eukaryota; Metazoa; Chordata; Actinopteri; Cypriniformes; Cyprinidae
Exons: 4
Source: RefSeq, a predicted model, not a curated record
CAGAUGAGAAUUGCUUCCUGUAGUGAGAUGAUCCAUAGUAGUACAGCAGAGUGUCCAUGAAAACACUUGAGCUUCCUACACACACAGCCAACAGGUAGCAGCAACUGCAGCUGACAUGGAAAGAGAUGGAUUACCGGAUUCACCCGCAUCCAAGGUGAAUCCAUGACCCCAAGCAAGUGGAUGUUGUCAGUCGAAAGGGAAGUUGUCCUUGGCCCAUGUUCGGAGGCAUUUGUUGAAGGCCUGGCAGCAUUGUUUGCGACCUAUUGCAACUUAAACCUUGCUUAACAGGAUGAAGCUGCAUGCACCCUCGAAUUUAUUCAGAGAGGAAUUGUGGGCAUUAACCCGGAAACUGGAUCAAAAGUUGCUGGAAAGAGAGACAACAAAAUGAAAGGAAUGAACCCACAUGUAUGUACACUGCUACGGAAGUUAAUGGACUUUGAAUGGCUUGCCAUUAAAAAAAAAAAAAAAAGUGUUCCAAUGAAAUUGAAGUGAGAGACUCUGAACUGAUUGUCAAGUGCAUUGUUGAUGUUCAAGUUAAUAAUGUACACAAUGUUAAUGUGUCUUGCCCCUUCAUGGAUUUGGCAAUUUAAAGGUAGGCACAGUUCAGACCCUUUCUUUUGUAUUUAUUUAAACUUUGAGUUUAUGAAUGAAGGUCAGUCACACUGUAGAAAUGGGGGUUUUUUUUGGUUUGUUUUUUUUCCCCAAGGCUAAAGCCUUUGUUCUAAUGUGCAAUCUCCAUUUUUUUUUUCUCCAAAUAUGUUUUGGAAAAUGGUGCAUAUGUUAAAUUAACAUUAUUGUACAAUAAAUUGUUACAUUUAUGAAAACCUGUUAUUUUGAAAGGUUUAUUCUUCACAUUACACAUUAAAAUGACAGACUACUGAAAAUU